CCUACGGGAGGCAGCAGUGAGGAAUAUUGGUCAAUGGCCGGAAGGCUGAACCAGCCAUGCCGCGUGAAGGUCAGUGCCCUAAUGGCGUUAAACUUCCUUUGUUCGGGAGCAAUAAUGGUCACCUGUGGCCUGACGAGAGUACCGUACGAAUAAGCAUCGGCUAACUCCGUGCCAGCAGCCGCGGUUAUACGGGGGAUGCAAUCGUUAUCCGGAUUUAUUGGGUUUAAAGGGUGCGUAGGCUGUGAGGUAAGUCAGCGGUGAAAUGCCCGCGCUCAACGGGGUGAAGUGCCAUUGAUACUGCCUGGCUGGAAUGCGGAUGCGGUAGGAGGAAUGUGUGGUGUAGCGGUGAAAUGCAUAGAUAUCACACAGAACACCGAUUGCGAAGGCAUCUCACGAAUCCGCGAUUGACGCUGAUGCACGAAAGCGUGGGUAUCAAACAGGAUUAGAUACCCGGGUAGUC
This 460-nucleotide ribosomal RNA is filed under the name uncultured bacterium. Its description in RNAcentral is "partial 16S ribosomal RNA". It matches the Rfam family "Bacterial small subunit ribosomal RNA", at positions 338 to 795 of the family's 1533-position model. The record is from RNAcentral.